AUUGAACGCUGGCGGAAUGCUUUACACAUGCAAGUCGAACGGCAGCACGGGGGCAGCCCUGGUGGCGAGUGGCGAACGGGUGAGUAAUACAUCGGAACGUGCCCGGUCGUGGGGGAUAACGUAGCGAAAGUUACGCUAAUACCGCAUACGAUCUGAGGAUGAAGGCGGGGGACCUUCGGGCCUCGCGCGAUCGGAGCGGCCGAUGUCAGAUUAGGUAGUUGGUGGGGUAAAGGCCUACCAAGCCGACGAUCUGUAGCUGGUCUGAGAGGACGACCAGCCACACUAGGACUGAAACACGGCCCAGGCUCCUGCGGGAGGCAGCAGUGGGGAAUGUUGGACAGUGGGCGCGAGCCUGAUCCAGCCAUUCCGCGUGCAAGACGAAGGCCUUCGGGUUGUAAACUGCUUUUGUGCGGAACGAAAAGGCUCUGGCUAAUACCUGGGGCUCAUGACGGUACCGUAAGAAUAAGCACCGGCUAACUACGUG
This 484-nucleotide ribosomal RNA is filed under the name uncultured bacterium. RNAcentral's name for it is "partial 16S ribosomal RNA". It matches the Rfam family "Bacterial small subunit ribosomal RNA", at positions 29 to 507 of the family's 1533-position model. The record is from RNAcentral.